Molecule: ribosomal RNA, 250 nt
Filed under: uncultured bacterium
Lineage: Bacteria
Description: partial 16S ribosomal RNA
Rfam family: Bacterial small subunit ribosomal RNA
Source: RNAcentral
UACGGAGGAUCCGAGCGUUAUCCGGAAUUAUUGGGUUUAAAGGGUGCGUAGGCGGCCCGAUAAGUCAGUGGUGAAAGACGGUGGCUCAACCAUCGCAGUGCCGUUGAUACUGUCGGGCUUGAAUGUAGAUGAGGUAGGCGGAAUGUGGCAAGUAGCGGUGAAAUGCAUUGAUAUGCCACAGGACACCGAUUGCGAAGGCAGCUUACCAAGGUAUGAUUGACGCUGAGGCACGAGAGCGUGGGGAUCGAAC